AUGUCACUAGAAUUUGCUGAAGGUAGCUGCACAGCCCAUAGUAGCUUUAUAGCCUCAAAAUUGAGUUUGUUAAGUUUAAUCCCUACAGAGUUCUCUUUUUCCCCCUCAAAAGUAUACCAGCAUUUGGACACUCUUAACCACAUGCAUUGCAGUUCUUGGCUAUUUGACGUUUGGAAAAUAAGGAUUGUCCAAUCGCAAGUGACAAUUAUAAGCUGCUCACACAAUUUCCAAGAGAUAUAG
This 240-nucleotide long non-coding RNA is filed under the name Prunus dulcis (almond). RNAcentral's name for it is "sRNA ncRNA". Lineage: Eukaryota; Viridiplantae; Streptophyta; Magnoliopsida; Rosales; Rosaceae. The record is from RNAcentral.